UACGGAGGGGGCUAGCGUUGUUCGGAAUCAUUGGGCGUAAAGGGCUCGUAGGCGGUUCGUCACGUCGGGAGUGAAAACUCGGAGCUUAACUCCGAGCCUGCUUCCGAUACGGGCAGACUAGAGGUAGGCAGGGGAGAGCGGAACUCCUGGUGUAGCGGUGGAAUGCGCAGAUAUCAGGAAGAACACCGGUGGCGAAGGCGGCUCUCUGGGCCUUACCUGACGCUGAGGAGCGAAAGCGUGGGUAGCGAACAGG
This 253-nucleotide ribosomal RNA is filed under the name uncultured bacterium. RNAcentral describes it as "partial 16S ribosomal RNA". It matches the Rfam family "Bacterial small subunit ribosomal RNA", at positions 524 to 776 of the family's 1533-position model. The record is from RNAcentral.